GGGUGAUUAACUCAGUGGUAGAGUGACUGCUUUACACGCAGUAGGUCACUGGUUCAAAUCCAGUAUUACCCA
This 72-nucleotide transfer RNA is filed under the name Synechococcus phage ACG-2014d. It matches the Rfam family "tRNA". Rfam says of the family: Transfer RNA (tRNA) molecules are approximately 80 nucleotides in length. Their secondary structure includes four short double-helical elements and three loops (D, anti-codon, and T loops). Further hydrogen bonds mediate the characteristic L-shaped molecular structure. tRNAs have two regions of fundamental functional importance: the anti-codon, which is responsible for specific mRNA codon recognition, and the 3' end, to which the tRNAs corresponding amino acid is attached (by aminoacyl-tRNA synthetases). tRNAs cope with the degeneracy of the genetic code in two manners: having more than one tRNA (with a specific anti-codon) for a particular amino acid; and 'wobble' base-pairing, i.e. permitting non-standard base-pairing at the 3rd anti-codon position. The record is from Rfam by way of RNAcentral. Lineage: Duplodnaviria; Heunggongvirae; Uroviricota; Caudoviricetes; Pantevenvirales; Kyanoviridae.